UACGGGGGGAGCAAGCGUUGUUCGGAUUUACUGGGCGUAAAGGGCGGGUAGGCGGCCAGCACAAGUCAGUUGUGAAAUCUCCGAGCUUAACUCGGAAAGGUCAACUGAUACUGUGCGGCUAGAGUGCAGAAGGGGCAACUGGAAUUCUUGGUGUAGCGGUGAAAUGCGUAGAUAUCAAGAGGAACACCUGCGGCGAAGGCGGGUUGCUGGGCUGACACUGACGCUGAACUGCGAAAGCUAGGGGAGCGAACGGG
This 254-nucleotide ribosomal RNA is filed under the name uncultured bacterium. Its description in RNAcentral is "partial 16S ribosomal RNA". It matches the Rfam family "Bacterial small subunit ribosomal RNA", at positions 524 to 776 of the family's 1533-position model. The record is from RNAcentral.